This 756-nucleotide ribosomal RNA is filed under the name Curtobacterium sp. RSppiD3. RNAcentral's name for it is "bacterial SSU rRNA". It matches the Rfam family "Bacterial small subunit ribosomal RNA", at positions 544 to 1299 of the family's 1533-position model. Lineage: Bacteria; Bacillati; Actinomycetota; Actinomycetes; Micrococcales; Microbacteriaceae. The record is from RNAcentral.
CCGGCAAUUAUUGGGCGUAAAGAGCUCGUAGGCGGUUUGUCGCGUCUGCUGUGAAAUCCCGAGGCUCAACCUCGGGCUUGCAGGGGGUACGGGCAGACUAGAGUGCGGUAGGGGAGAUUGGAAUUCCUGGUGUAGCGGUGGAAUGCGCAGAUAUCAGGAGGAACACCGAUGGCGAAGGCAGAUCUCUGGGCCGUAACUGACGCUGAGGAGCGAAAGCAUGGGGAGCGAACAGGAUUAGAUACCCUGGUAGUCCAUGCCGUAAACGUUGGGCGCUAGAUGUAGGGACCUUUCCACGGUUUCUGUGUCGUAGCUAACGCAUUAAGCGCCCCCGCUGGGGAGUACGGCCGCAAGGCUAAAACUCAAAGGAAUUGACGGGGGCCCGCACAAGCGGCGGAGCAUGCGGAUUAAUUCGAUGCAACGCGAAGAACCUUACCAAGGCUUGACAUACACCGGAAACGGCCAGAGAUGGUCGCCCCCUUGUGGUCGGUGUACAGGUGGUGCAUGGUUGUCGUCAGCUCGUGUCGUGAGAUGUUGGGUUAAGUCCCGCAACGAGCGCAACCCUCGUUCUAUGUUGCCAGCGGGUUAUGCCGGGGACUCAUAGGAGACUGCCGGGGUCAACUCGGAGGAAGGUGGGGAUGACGUCAAAUCAUCAUGCCCCUUAUGUCUUGGGCUUCACGCAUGCUACAAUGGCCGGUACAAAGGGCUGCGAUACCGUAAGGUGGAGCGAAUCCCAAAAAGCCGGUCUCAGUUCGGAUU